GUGGGGAAUCUUGCGCAAUGGGCGAAAGCCUGACGCAGCCAUGCCGCGUGGAUGAUGAAGGUCUUAGGAUUGUAAAAUCCUUUCACCGGUGAAGAUAAUGACUGUAGCCGGAGAAGAAGCCCCGGCUAACUUCGUGCCAGCAGCCGCGGUAAUACGAAGGGGGCUAGCGUUGCUCGGAUUUACUGAGCGUAAAGGGCGCGUAGGCGGACAUUUAAGUCAGGGGUGAAAUCCCGGGGCUCAACCUCGGAACUGCCUUUGAUACUGGGUGUCUUGAGUAUGAGAGAGGUGUGUGGAACUCCGAGUGUAGAGGUGAAAUUCGUAGAUAUUCGGAAGAACACCAGUGGCGAAGGCGACACACUGGCUCAUUACUGACGCUGAGGCGCGAAAGCGUGGGGAGCAAACAGGAUUAGAUACCCUUGUAGUCC
Molecule: ribosomal RNA, 425 nt
Filed under: uncultured bacterium
Lineage: Bacteria
Description: partial 16S ribosomal RNA
Rfam family: Bacterial small subunit ribosomal RNA
Source: RNAcentral